UCCUACGGGGCGCAGCAGUAGGGAAUCUUCCACAAUGGACGAAAGUCUGAUGGAGCAACGCCGCGUGAGUGAAGAAGGGUUUCGGCUCGUAAAGCUCUUUUGGGAGUGAAGAAAGAUAGAGGUAGUAACUGGCCUUUAUUUGACGGUAAUUACUUAGAAAGUCACGGCUAACUACGUGCCAGCAGCCGCGGUAAUACGUAGGUGGCAAGCGUUGUCCGGAUUUAUUGGGCGUAAAGCGAGUGCAGGCGGAUCAAUAAGUCUUAUGUGUAAGACUUUGGCUCAACCGG
This 287-nucleotide ribosomal RNA is filed under the name uncultured bacterium. Its description in RNAcentral is "partial 16S ribosomal RNA". It matches the Rfam family "Bacterial small subunit ribosomal RNA", at positions 337 to 616 of the family's 1533-position model. The record is from RNAcentral.